CCUCAUUAAGGGCCCAGCACUGCCUCCCUUGCCUCCUGCUGCAACCACCACCAGGAUGCCCUGUUCUCUCCACCAGCACCAUGGAGUCUUCACAAAAGUCAAUUACAGAGGAGGAAGCUCAGCGUCCACCCAGUCUUACAGAAGAGGGCCUGAGACGGAGGUGGGGUGACUGGCCCAGGGUCCACCAGCCAGCCCAGCUGUGACUGGGCAGGAUGCUGGGGCCUUCAGUCUGCUGCAGAGCCCAUCACGUUCCAUCCAGCUGAGUGAGACGGGGGUACACCAAAGUGCUGGAGAGGGAACCCUUAGGAAUCAUUCCACACAAGUUUACUGGGCUGGGUUAUUUAUUGGAGAAUCAUUUCAGAGGCUCCUUUAACAGGAAAUAUGUAGUGGUAAGAGCUCUCCGUGGGUAAGAAACUUCAAUAGUAAUUUACUUCCUUUGAUUUUCCUUCUUCAAAAAGGCCACCCUUUUAAAAAGCCACACACUUCCCUUGGGGUUUGAGGUCCAGAAUCUCUUUCUUAAUUGCUAUGCUUAGAAACCCUCCUUCAAAGGACAUUUGGAAAAAUUAUUUCAUGAUUUUGAAAAAUAAAAUUGUUCCUGGUGACUUCACCGAAGUUUCUGAAAGGAGAAUAAACUAUCACUUAAGAGAGAGUGCUGGGCCGGGCUCAGUGGCUCACACCUGUAAUCCCAGCACUUUGGGAGGCCUAGAGGCAGAUCACCUGAGGUCAGGAGUUUCUAGCCAGGCAGGCGUGCCACAUAGUGGCAUGCACCUCUAAUCCCAGCUACUCGGGAGGCGAAUCACUUGAACCGGGAGGCGGAGGUUGCAGUGAGCCAAGAUCACGCCAUUGCGCUCCAGCCUGGGCGAAAGAGCAAGACUCCAUCUCAAAAAAAAGAGAGAGAGAGAGAGAAUGCGAAUCUUGAGACCAGGACUGCUCAGAGCAGCAGCAGUAGACACCUUCUACCUGAGCAUGCUGUUGCUUCAAGCCCUUCAUCAGUUUAGAAGUAUGUUUUGUGUUUUCCCUAUAGUUUUUUUUCUUUCUGCCAAAUGUUACCUCCCACUAGUAUUUUAAGUCAAAAUUUAAUUUUAUUUUCCUUUAAGACUGGGUUUUUUUUGGCCAAUAUUUAACUAUUGUGAAGUAUCUCUUUGUAAGGUCUUCUGCUAAAAUAAUGCAUUCUAAGCAUCCGGAUUGCAGUUUUUUUUUUUUUAACAUAGAGCGUUUUAGAAGGUACAGUAAGCUCUACAAAACAUUUUCUUUGGAUUGAUUACAUUUUAGGAAGAUGAAGUCUGUUUUCCUGAUUUUUGUUUAAUCGCUUUAUUUCUGAGUGUCUUUAUUGUUACUAUAAACUGACAGUUAUUUUUACUAGUGAGUCUAAUCAAAGAUUAAUGGAGAUCUUGACUUAUUUUAAAGGAAAUAUAUUUUUUAAAUCUAAGGUCUUAGUUCCAAGUCACACAAAUCAUUAUUAGAAUUUAUAACUCUCUAAGGCUUCAACUGUUUCUUCACUUCCUUAUAUAUUUGGUUGCUUUACUUUGAACACAGUAAUUGAUUCUUAUACAAGGAGUCUUUAUCUUAAUAAUCUGCUUAAAAUAAUUUUGAUAAUGUGUAUUUUGUAUAAGAACAAUGAAGAAAAUCAGAAGUUGAAAAGUUGAAUCUUUAAUUUACAAAGACUUAUUUUCUCAUUAGAAUAAUAAAGGAGUGUAUAGAAAUACAGUAAAUGCAAAUCAAAACCACAAUGAGAUACCGUCUCACACCAGUUAGAAUGGCAGUCAUUAAAAAGUCAGGAAACAACAGGUGCUGGAGAGGAUGUGGAGAAAUAGGAACACUUUUACACUGUUGGUGGGACUGUAAACUAGUUCAACCAUUGUGGAAGUCAGUGUGGCGAUUCCUCAGGGAUCUAGAACUAGAGAUACCAUUUGACCCAGCCAUCCCAUUACUGGCUAUAUACCCAAAGGACUAUAAAUCAUGCUGUUAUAAAGACACAUGCACACAUAUGUUUAUUGCGGCACUAUUCACAAUAGCAGAGACUUGGAACCAACCCAAAUGUCCAACAAUGAUAGACUGGAUUAAGAAAAUGUGGCAUACAUACACCAUGGAAUACUAUGCAGCCAUAAAAAAUGAUGAGUUCAUGUCCUUUGUAGGGACAUGGAUGAAAUUGGAAAUCAUCAUUCUCAGUAAACUAUCUCAAGGACAAAAAACCAAACACCGCAUGUUCUCACUCAUAGAUGGGAAUUGAACAAUGAGAACACAUGGACACAGGAAGGGGAACAUCACACUCUGGGGACUGUUGUGUGGUGGGGGGAGGGAUAGUUUUAGGAGAUAUACCUAAUGCUAAAUGACGAGUUAAUGGGUGCAGCAUACCAGCAUGGCACAUGUAUGUAACUAACCUGCACAUUGUGCACAUGUACCCUAAAACUUAAAGUAUUAAAAAAAAAAAAAAGAACACAAGCGAGUGACAGCGCACAAGCUAUUAAGUGGCCACAAAAA
Molecule: long non-coding RNA, 2481 nt
Organism: Pongo pygmaeus (Bornean orangutan)
Lineage: Eukaryota; Metazoa; Chordata; Mammalia; Primates; Hominidae
Exons: 2
Source: RefSeq, a predicted model, not a curated record